Molecule: long non-coding RNA, 2406 nt
Organism: Passer domesticus (house sparrow)
Lineage: Eukaryota; Metazoa; Chordata; Aves; Passeriformes; Passeridae
Exons: 4
Source: RefSeq, a predicted model, not a curated record
CGCCUCUCUGUGCCGCGCUGCUGCAGCGGCCGACGGCGUGGGGGGGGCUCUGCCGGGACGCGCUCGACCUUCUCAAGAUGGCGGCAAAAAAGAGCGGGAAAGUCGAGGGCCUCCGUCCGCUUACUGGACUGCCUGCGUGGCACCCCGACGCCAGCGCGGCCCCGGUGGAAUUUUCUGUGGCGAUUCACGUGCUGUGGACACGGGCUGCAGCCUCAGCGGCGCCGCGGGCGGGCGUGUUUUUGACGGGAGUUGCCAGGGUUUAGUAGGGUCGCCUUUCUCUGCCGAGGGUCUCUCGCGGCCGCCAUCUUGGAAGUGGCGUGUCACGGACUCGCUUGACCUUCUCAAGAUGGCGGGGGAAAAAGAGCGGGAAAAAACAGGUUACCCUAUAAUAGCCGAGUGUAGCCGAAGAGCCGAAGAUAGCCAAGUGUAACCGACUGUAGCCGAGUUUAGCCGAAGUGCCGAAUAUGAUCGACUUUAGCCGAACCGAACCGAGUUCAGCCGAACAGCCGAAACAAGCCGAGUUUAGACGAAAAACCGAAACAAGCCCAGCUUAGACCAACAGCCGAACCAAAGCGCCGCUGCACGACGCCGAGAGCUUCUCCGAGGGUCUGGGGGAACACCUGGAUACGCCCUUGGAUGCGUGGAGCAUUGCUCAAAGGAGGUGCCGAGGAACAAAGCUUCGUGCCGGGAAGCAGCAGCCGAACAGUUAUUUUACAGAAAUAGGUGAUCAAAGCUUAGAAGAACCUGUAGCAAAUCCUGUUUGCUUGACACUUGGAGCAGUUGGCAUCCAGCCUGGUGUCCUGAGGAUGUGCUCCCAAGGGAAAAAGGCUUUCAACAAAUGGAUUGAAAUCGCUUAUCUGUCAUGGGCAUUUCCAACAUGCUGGAAGUGUUUCAGUACUCUGGAGAACAUGUGUACCUUUCCUGAAAUACACCCUUUUGUUGGCUCUUCAGAUAUUGCUGGAAUCAUGGACAUGGGCAGCUUUACCUAGGUUCCUGAAAACUACUUAUGAACCUUUUUCCCUUGGAAAAUGUUACAUUAACAGACCUCAAUAUGCAAUGUUUGGAAACAACUGAAAUGCUUAUAAGAGAUGAUAAGAAAUAGAAAAUAUAUUCUGCCCUUCUACUGCAGUCAAUAACACCUCUCUGAAGUUGAUGCUUAUUUCUUUUAUACUCUGCAAUGAGCAAGGUCUUGUACAAUCAGGUUUUAUUUUUGUUAUUUCUUGUAAUUUAUUCAUAAAAUCCAACAUGUAAAUUUUAGUACCUGCAGUUAAGUCCAGUCUGUUGGGCCUUAGUGCAUCCAAGGGGUGUUUCAGGCCAUGUGUGAGCAGUAUUUUCACAACUGGGUGUUUUGUUUGGAUGGAGUGACCUUGACAUGAUUCUUUGAGCCCUAGAUUUUUAUUGUGUUCAUAGUGGAAACCUUUAUCCUGCUCCCUGUAGUGAGUGCUGGUGUGCUGUCUGCUCUGGGCCUGAGACCGGAGCCCUUCUCUCAGAGUAAGAUGCAGGGUACUGGGGGUGGUUUGUCCCUUUUCAAAGAGUCACUGGUGAUUCUGGUGCAAAAAGUAUGGAGAAUGUUGCAGAAAAAAACAGUACAAAAAUAGGGUGUGGAGUCUUGGAGUGAUGGGAAAGGACUGGCUUUUCUAUGCUUAUAUAUGUUUGUGCAGAUGAUGAUGUUCAUAGCUGUGUGUUUUAGAGCUGUUGUACCUGAGCCUGAAAAUGGAGCUGUGGCAUAAACCGGACUAAACUUCAGCAAGAAACAAUAAAUUCACUGAAAAUAUUGUGAUGGGACCUGCCCUAUUGUGUCAGCCCCCUGACACAAGCUGCAGGUACUCUGUACUUGGCAACUUCUGUGGGGUCUGGAGGAUUUUUGUAUGGAAGUUCUGCCACAUGGCUGACCAGGGACUGAGGUUUUGUGUAGUAGCAGGGCGAUGCCCAGACCCUGACUGAGUGUGGUUUACUCUUAACACAUUGCCUUGCUGCAAUGGCAGUUGCUAAUAAAUUUAUCAAAGAAUUAUUAACACUAAACCAAAAUAUCUACAUAGAAAUCACUGUCGAGUUUCUCUCAACAAAGCACCAGUGAUGGCACCAGAGGAACAGGCAGUAACUGAUGCCCGGGAAUUCCCCCUGCACAGGAGGCAGAACUUCUUCCCUGGGCACUGCCUGAGCCCUGAACAGAUUGUCCACAGAGGGUGUGCAGCUCUUAAAUUCAUGCUAAAAUAGCUAAAAACAGUGAGAGGAGGAGUGACCCAGAAGAACAAAAAAUAUUGGCCUGUAGAUAGAAUUUCGAGUGUUCUGGCACAGAUGAACACAGAAAUUAGUCUAGAGGGAAUGCAAAAAACCAGGGAACAUUUGGAAGAGAAAGUACAAUAAAUGGGAAAAACUGGCAAUGAACAGCAAUCUUAAAUUGAC